CAGAAAAUAGUUUAUAAAAAAUAUUAAUUUUGGAGAUUAAUGAAAAAAAAUUUUUUUUUUUCUGA
This 65-nucleotide transfer RNA is filed under the name Megabeleses magnoliae. RNAcentral's name for it is "tRNA-Pro". The record is from RNAcentral. Lineage: Eukaryota; Metazoa; Arthropoda; Insecta; Hymenoptera; Tenthredinidae.